GGGCCUAUAGUAUAGCGGUAGAACGCCUCCAUGGCAUGGAGGAGGUGGGAGUUCGACUCUCCCUAGGUCCA
Molecule: transfer RNA, 71 nt
Filed under: bacterium
Lineage: Bacteria
Description: tRNA-Ala
Rfam family: tRNA
About the family: Transfer RNA (tRNA) molecules are approximately 80 nucleotides in length. Their secondary structure includes four short double-helical elements and three loops (D, anti-codon, and T loops).
Source: RNAcentral